RNAcentral lists this ribosomal RNA (253 nucleotides) under uncultured bacterium. RNAcentral describes it as "partial 16S ribosomal RNA". It matches the Rfam family "Bacterial small subunit ribosomal RNA", at positions 524 to 776 of the family's 1533-position model. The record is from RNAcentral.
GACGUAGGGCGCGAGCGUUGUCCGGAUUUAUUGGGCGUAAAGAGCUCGUAGGCGGCUUGUCGCGUCGACCGUGAAAACUUGGGGCUCAACCCCAAGCCUGCGGUCGAUACGGGCAGGCUCGAGUUCGGUAGGGGAGACUGGAAUUCCUGGUGUAGCAGUGAAAUGCGCAGAUAUCAGGAGGAACACCGAUGGCGAAGGCAGGUCUCUGGGCCGAUACUGACGCUGAGGAGCGAAAGCGUGGGGAGCGAACAGG